Molecule: RNA transcript, 1473 nt
Organism: Eriocheir sinensis (Chinese mitten crab)
Lineage: Eukaryota; Metazoa; Arthropoda; Malacostraca; Decapoda; Varunidae
Exons: 5
Source: RefSeq, a predicted model, not a curated record
CACAACCACACCACUUACAACCCCCACCACGUCAUCUAACCCCACUAGAACUACCCUUCCUCCCAAUCAACAGGGGAAUAAGGGGAAGGAACAGGUAGGAAACGCAUGACGAGGAGAGAAAACGAGUCAUGUGAUGAUGUCUGGCAAUUCCACCCCACUGUGAGCUGCCAUAUACUUGGGCCGGGCGGGAUAGUCAGGCACAACAGUCUUCCUCGUCAUCUCACACGGUACAACAAGAUGGCGCGCACAGGAGCAGUAGCGGCGGUGGUGCUGGGGACGGUUCUGGCUCUCACGCAGUUCGAGGCGGCGCUGGCAACACCCGUCAGCGCCAACGUACACACAUCGGGAUUCUCGGGCAGUAGCUCCGGGGCCGCGCAGAGCCAGGUUGUGGAGAACGACGGUACCAUCAAGGGCGAGUGUGCGUACGUGGGCCCUGAUGGCAACACUAUCAAGAUCUCGUAUCGGCAGCCCCCCAACGGCCAGCUCCAGGCAGAGUCCAACACUCCCGGCGUUGACCCUGCCGCCGCGCUCGCCACCUGCAGGAGGGCCGCUGAAGCCGCCUCCAUCGCCGCCCAACAGAACUUCCAGCAGGUCCAGGAAAUGAUCCGCCAACAGCAACUGCAGCUCCAAGCCUUGCAAGAGAGAUUCCAGGUCCCAAACUUCUUCGGCUUCCCCAACCAGUUCCAGUUCCCGGGCUUCGGUCAUUUCUAAGGACGACAGCCUCACCCUCUCGCUCUUCCUUCUCCCCCAGAUCCUCCGCUCCAUUCGUCGCCCCUAAAGAAUAAAGACGAGGUGAGGGUUGUCAUUUGUGGAAGUGCUAAUCAACUAUUCACAUCAGCAACACUAAGAAGGACAGCAACCUCGCCCUCCCUCGCUCUCCCCUCUCCCUCAGUACCGCCGCUUCACUGGUCGUCCCUGAAGAAUAGAGACAAGUGAGGUUCAUAAUCUGUGGAAGUGUUAAUUCAUAUAUCCGUAGCAGCAAAAUGACUUACAGCCGAGCAUUGCCGAAAUCGCUGUACGAGGAAUGAAAUUUUUCAACAUGUCAGUGAAAGCAAGCCAUUAUUCGUUAUCCGCGGAAGACAAAGACGAAGUGAAGUUUAUAAAUAGGACGUGCUUUCUUUCCAAAUCUACUUAAUCAAAACCAUGGCUGCACCAGACGCCUCAUAGACCCUUGCAUGUUGGGACAAGAAAUAUGAGAUGAAAAAAAGUUAAAGAAACCCAUUACCAACAAGCCCAUGAUUUACGUUAUGUUAAAAAGCUUCACUGAAAACACAUCUACAAUCGUAUCACUAGUUAUAUAAUCCGCCUAUUGAUAUUGUGUUUCGUAACCUUGUAACCUGUAUUAUUUCAUUAUAUUUUGUCUUAUUAUAUAAAAACAAAACGCGUAUUUCUUUUUUUAUGGAUUAAUGGCACCACAAGAGUCUCCCUAAUCCUUGUCUUGAGAUUAUGAAAAACAAUUUGUGACCCUUAAAA